AUAAAAAAUCAAUGUCUUCGGACUCUUUGAUGAUUCAUAAUAACUUUUCGAAUCGCAUGGCCUUGUGCUGGCGAUGGUUCAUUCAAAUUUCUGCCCUAUCAACUUUCGAUGGUAGGAUAGUGGCCUACCAUGGUUUCAACGGGUAACGGGGAAUAAGGGUUCGAUUCCGGAGAGGGAGCCUGAGAAACGGCUGCCACAUCCAAGGAAGGCAGCAGGCGCGCAAAUUACCCAAUCCUAAUUCAGGGAGGUAGUGACAAUAAAUAACGAUACAGGGCCCAUUCGGGUCUUGUAAUUGGAAUGAGUACAAUGUAAAUACCUUAACGAGGAACAAUUGGAGGGCAAGUCUGGUGCCAGCAGCCGGG
RNAcentral lists this ribosomal RNA (362 nucleotides) under uncultured fungus. Its description in RNAcentral is "SSU rRNA". It matches the Rfam family "Eukaryotic small subunit ribosomal RNA", at positions 214 to 578 of the family's 1831-position model. The record is from RNAcentral. Lineage: Eukaryota; Fungi.